RNAcentral lists this ribosomal RNA (159 nucleotides) under Physcia caesia. RNAcentral's name for it is "5.8S ribosomal RNA". It matches the Rfam family "5.8S ribosomal RNA". From Rfam's summary of the family: 5.8S ribosomal RNA (5.8S rRNA) is a component of the large subunit of the eukaryotic ribosome. It is transcribed by RNA polymerase I as part of the 45S precursor that also contains 18S and 28S rRNA. Lineage: Eukaryota; Fungi; Ascomycota; Lecanoromycetes; Caliciales; Physciaceae. The record is from RNAcentral.
AAAACUUUCAACAACGGAUCUCUUGGUUCUGGCAUCGAUGAAGAACGCAGCGAAAUGCGAUAAGUAAUGUGAAUUGCAGAAUUCCGUGAAUCAUCGAAUCUUUGAACGCACAUUGCGCCCUUUGGUAUUCCGGAGGGCAUGCCUGUUCGAGCGUCAUUG